This 3178-nucleotide long non-coding RNA is filed under the name Podarcis lilfordi (Lilford's wall lizard). Lineage: Eukaryota; Metazoa; Chordata; Lepidosauria; Squamata; Lacertidae. The record is from RNAcentral.
CAUCAGAGAUGAAGCAGCCAACUGACUGUUUUUAAAGCCAGUUCUUCUGCAAUGUUUUAUCUCCAAACAUUUAUCUCUAAAUGCCUUUAUCUCUAAAACUUCUCUCAUCAGCAUUUUAAUCAUGAAUAUGUAUUGCAUUUUCAAGAUAAUUCAGCUAUUAUUGCUUUUGCAGAGCUUUCAGCUGUUGAAAUUGAGAUUAUGGCUUUUAAAGUUCACGCCCAUUUUAUGUAUUCAGAAACAUACUUUUAAGAUGCAGUUCAAAAGACUGGAAACAAGAAUGGUUCCAGUGUGGAAAAUUACUUUAUUCUUCUCUGUGAAAAGCAGACCCAGAGUUUUGGAUGUAGGUAUUCUUUCCUUCCCAGCACCCUUGAUGCACGCGGGACCACAACCAGCAGCGACUUGUUUGUGGACAAUGGUUUUAUGCAAGGAUGGUUUGCAUACGAGAGUGUUUAAGCCAGUUUAUCUGUUCUCAUAACAGCUAAACUGAAAUAGGUACGAGAACAAUGAAGAGAAAAAAUGUGCUUAGCUUUUUAAAACCCACCUUCAUACUUCUUUCACUAGUUCUGUUCAAAUCACUUAAUAUACAUGCAGAACUUGCCCUUGGUUUUCUGAUUUGCGGCGCACCCGCCAUAAUUUGAUUCUUGGGAUUCAAGUUUACAGUACCUUCAUAGCAGGGGUGCCUAACUCAUGGCCUGAGGGGCCAUAUAUGUUCCCUAAGGAGUUUUUGCUGAUCCUCCAAUUCCCCUAAUAAUUUGACUGCUGGAUCUGCAAUUGGGAGGGGGGGGGGUUAAAAAAAUACAGAGCAGAAGUUGGCGCUGUUUGAACUUCCCAUAAUGAUUUUCAGCAAUCAUAUCUCUUUCUCUGGCUUGUGAGCAAUUCACGUGACAUCCUCCUUACACUUGCUAGAGCUUUGUGGCCAGAGGGUGGUGAUGCACACAUAAAUCCUAGUAGCAGGGAAGUCCCUGGGCUCACACCACCCUUAACUGAGCAAGAACUGAGGGAGGAGGAGAGAUGACUGCAAUCUGUUAGGUGAUGUUGAGGAGUCAAACUGGGAACCUUUAGAUCUGAGAACAGUUGCCCCAUAUCAUAGGCCAUUAAACUGCAAGACAGCAUUGUAUCCUCAGGUCCUGGACUAACCUUACCUAACCUCCUGGACAGAAAAGACUACAAGAGAGCCUUCUGUUCAUCUAAGCCUUGCUCAAGAGACAAGAGGCACAUCCAUGCCAUACAUUGAAAGCACUUUUAUGCCACUUCAAGGGUAAUAGAGAAUCCUGAGAACUGUAGCUUGUUACCUUACAAAUGUAAGGUUCUCACUUCGGCAGAGCUAACCAGCUGCAAAAAUAUAAGAUGGGGGACACCUUGUUUGCCAGCAGUACAUGCAAAAAAGCUCUAGGGGGUCUUAGAAGAUCACAAGAUUAAUGUGAGUCAAUACUGUGAUGCAGUAUUGUGAGUCAGUACUGUGAUGCCAACCUAGCAGUUCGAAAGCAUCCCCGGGUGCAAGUAGAUAAAUAGGGACCGCUUACUAGCGGGAAGGUAAACGGCGUUGUGUGUGCUGCGCUGGCUCGCUAGAUGCAGCUUGUCACGCUGGCCACGUGACCCGGAAGUGUCUGUGGACAGCGCUGGCUCCCGGCCGCUAGAGUGAGAUGAGCGCACAACCCUAGAGUCUGUCAAGACUGGCCCGUACGGGCGGGGGUACCUUUACCUUUACCUUUACCUUUACCUUUACUGUGAUGCAGCAGCAAAAAACCUAGUGCUAUUCUAGGCUGCAUCAACAGAAGUAUAGUGUCUGGAUUAAGGAAAGUCGUAGUACCACUCUAUUCUGUCUUGGUCAGACCACACCUGUAGUACUGUGUCCAGUUCUGGGUGCUGCAAUUUAAGAAGGAUAUUGACAAGCUGGAGUAUAUGCAGAGGAUGGUGACCAGGAUGAUCAAGAGUCUGGAAACCAAGCCUUAUGAGGAAUUGUUGAGAGUACUGGGUAUGUUCAGACUGGUAAAGAAGAGUCUUAGAGGAGAUAUGAUAUCCUCCUUCAAAUAUCCAAAGGGCUGUCACAAGGAAGAUGGAGCAAAAUUGUUUUCUCCUGCUCUAGCAACUAGAACCUGAACCAAUGGCUUUAAGUUACAAAAAAGGAGAUUCUGACUAAACAUCAGGAAGAACUUUCAAUAAUAAUAGCUGAUCAACAGUGGAAUAGACUCCUUAAGGAGGUGGUGGACUCUCCUUCAUUGAGGUUUUAAGCAGAACUUGGAUGGUCACCUGUCAUGUCUGCUUUAUUUGAGAUUCCUGCAUUGCAGGGGGUUGGACUAAAUGACUCUGGUGGAUCCCUUCCAACGCUAGAGUUCUAUGAUUCUGAGAAGGCAGCAUAGAUAGGGAAAAAACUGUGAUCAGUUUUCAUAAAAAGGAAUUAAUUCAGCUGUUGACAUAAAUCAAAGCAUCUAUUUAAACAUAUUUUAUUUUUUAAGAGAACCCAUUUUGGCUUAGUUAUUUACUGCUCCUAACCCCUCCACAUUAACUCUGCUCUUACCUGCAAUUGGCUAGAGUUUUCCACCUUUACUGUAACAAGGAAUGAUCCCUGUGGAGCUAACAGUUGUGUUGUGCUGGGAAACAGCUGUCAGAAGCUACCCCUAUUCAUCUUCCACCUUCAUCUCUGCAGUUGGAUAUGUCAUGACUGCAUCUCAGCCAGCGUUCAUUGACCCAGAAAGGCAAGUUCAAACUAAAUCCUCUGCUUACUAGCAGAACACAUUGGGUAAAUUUGGCAUGCUCAUGUUUUGCUUCAACCUAACAGUUUCAGGUUGCAGUGGGAGAAGGUCUUACUUGGUAUAUGAGCAGGCAUUUUAAUGUAACAUAUUAAAAAAAUGAAACAAUUCCACACAUGUAGUUCUAAACAUUAUCCAUAGGAAAUUUGUCAAGCUCUACAUCUUACUCACACUGCAAUGACAUCGAAAGGCUUAAAUUAUCUAGUUCAUGAAAAAUAACAGCUCAAACUUAGUCUUCACUGACCUCAUUUAAUGCUGUAUUCCCAUAGCUUCCAUGCUGUGAUGAAAUAUCUUUUAGACAUUUCUCUUUGGAACAGAGAAAGGUUAACAUGAUUAUGUUGUCUAUAAGAGAGAUGUUUCAGCUUCUGCAAAUGUUUUAUUUUUGGAUAUAAAGAGAUGAGAAAUGAUUUAUACAAAAAUCUUACAUC